RNAcentral lists this ribosomal RNA (1519 nucleotides) under Enterococcus faecium. RNAcentral describes it as "bacterial SSU rRNA". It matches the Rfam family "Bacterial small subunit ribosomal RNA". Lineage: Bacteria; Bacillati; Bacillota; Bacilli; Lactobacillales; Enterococcaceae. RNAcentral also lists the same sequence under 1 other name. The record is from RNAcentral.
AGAGUUUGAUCCUGGCUCAGGACGAACGCUGGCGGCGUGCCUAAUACAUGCAAGUCGUACGCUUCUUUUUCCACCGGAGCUUGCUCCACCGGAAAAAGAAGAGUGGCGAACGGGUGAGUAACACGUGGGUAACCUGCCCAUCAGAAGGGGAUAACACUUGGAAACAGGUGCUAAUACCGUAUAACAAUCGAAACCGCAUGGUUUUGAUUUGAAAGGCGCUUUCGGGUGUCGCUGAUGGAUGGACCCGCGGUGCAUUAGCUAGUUGGUGAGGUAACGGCUCACCAAGGCCACGAUGCAUAGCCGACCUGAGAGGGUGAUCGGCCACAUUGGGACUGAGACACGGCCCAAACUCCUACGGGAGGCAGCAGUAGGGAAUCUUCGGCAAUGGACGAAAGUCUGACCGAGCAACGCCGCGUGAGUGAAGAAGGUUUUCGGAUCGUAAAACUCUGUUGUUAGAGAAGAACAAGGAUGAGAGUAACUGUUCAUCCCUUGACGGUAUCUAACCAGAAAGCCACGGCUAACUACGUGCCAGCAGCCGCGGUAAUACGUAGGUGGCAAGCGUUGUCCGGAUUUAUUGGGCGUAAAGCGAGCGCAAGCGGUUUCUUAAGUCUGAUGUGAAAGCCCCCGGCUCAACCGGGGAGGGUCAUUGGAAACUGGGAGACUUGAGUGCAGAAGAGGAGAGUGGAAUUCCAUGUGUAGCGGUGAAAUGCGUAGAUAUAUGGAGGAACACCAGUGGCGAAGGCGGCUCUCUGGUCUGUAACUGACGCUGAGGCUCGAAAGCGUGGGGAGCAAACAGGAUUAGAUACCCUGGUAGUCCACGCCGUAAACGAUGAGUGCUAAGUGUUGGAGGGUUUCCGCCCUUCAGUGCUGCAGCUAACGCAUUAAGCACUCCGCCUGGGGAGUACGACCGCAAGGUUGAAACUCAAAGGAAUUGACGGGGGCCCGCACAAGCGGUGGAGCAUGUGGUUUAAUUCGAAGCAACGCGAAGAACCUUACCAGGUCUUGACAUCCUUUGACCACUCUAGAGAUAGAGCUUCCCCUUCGGGGGCAAAGUGACAGGUGGUGCAUGGUUGUCGUCAGCUCGUGUCGUGAGAUGUUGGGUUAAGUCCCGCAACGAGCGCAACCCUUAUUGUUAGUUGCCAUCAUUCAGUUGGGCACUCUAGCAAGACUGCCGGUGACAAACCGGAGGAAGGUGGGGAUGACGUCAAAUCAUCAUGCCCCUUAUGACCUGGGCUACACACGUGCUACAAUGGGAAGUACAACGAGUCGCGAAGUCGCGAGGCUAAGCUAAUCUCUUAAAGCUUCUCUCAGUUCGGAUUGCAGGCUGCAACUCGCCUGCAUGAAGCCGGAAUCGCUAGUAAUCGCGGAUCAGCACGCCGCGGUGAAUACGUUCCCGGGCCUUGUACACACCGCCCGUCACACCACGAGAGUUUGUAACACCCGAAGUCGGUGAGGUAACCUUUUUGGAGCCAGCCGCCUAAGGUGGGAUAGAUGAUUGGGGUGAAGUCGUAACAAGGUA